Molecule: ribosomal RNA, 443 nt
Filed under: uncultured bacterium
Lineage: Bacteria
Description: bacterial SSU rRNA
Rfam family: Bacterial small subunit ribosomal RNA
Source: RNAcentral
AACGCGAAGAACCUUACCUGGGCUUGAACCGCACAGGACCAUCUACUGGAAACAGAGACUUCCCGGCAAGGGACCUGUGUAGAGGUGCUGCAUGGCUGUCGUCAGCUCGUGUCGUGAGAUGUUGGGUUAAGUCCCGCAACGAGCGCAACCCUUGUCCUGUGUUACCAUGCCGAAAGGCGGCACUCGCAGGAGACCGCCAGCGAUAAGCUGGAGGAAGGUGGGGAUGACGUCAAGUCCUCAUGGCCUUUAUGUCCAGGGCUACACACGUGCUACAAUGGGCGGUACAAAGCGCUGCUAAGCCGCAAGGCGGAGCCAAAUCGCAAAAAGCCGCUCUCAGUUCGGAUUGCAGGCUGCAACUCGCCUGCAUGAAGCUGGAAUCGCUAGUAAUGCUAUAUCAGAACGAUAGCGUGAAUACGUUCCCGGGCCUUGUACACACCGCUGUA